RNAcentral lists this ribosomal RNA (62 nucleotides) under uncultured organism. Its description in RNAcentral is "partial 16S ribosomal RNA". The record is from RNAcentral.
UACCCUUGACAUGUACGGAAUCCUGCUGAGAGGUGGGAGUGCCAGAAAUGGAGCCGUAACAC